CACGGGUUGAGCUCUUUCCUGCUGCCUUGAGCCUGAGGCAGGCUAUUCUUCCUGUGCGGCUCCACAGCUUCAGGCCAGCCCCCUCCCCGCUCAAAUCCCUGAGGCAGAGCUCCUCUGAAGAAGACUUCCGAUAUUAGGUUGCCUGGGCCCAGCUUGAAUCAGGCACCCCCAGCCGAGUCGCCCUCCAGGGGAUGGAAUACGGGACUCCCAGCCCCGGAAAACGGAGUCCGCCUGAGCCACGGGACUCGGAUGGAAGGCAAGUGAAGCCUGAUACCUCAGUGCAGAUACGUGGCUGGCUUUGUUGCAGGAUUUUCCUUAGUUUAGCUAAAGACGGGAUCUUGUCCAUCCCAUGGCCAUGAAAAUUUAGGCUCACAGACGCUUUAAAGGGUUCCACACAGGAAGAGGCGGUUCCCAGGUUCCACACAGGAAGAGGCGGUUCCCAGGUUCCACACAGGAAGAGGCGGUUCCCAGGUUCCACACAGGAAGAGGCGGUUCCCAGGUUCCACACAGGAAGAGACGCCCAGGUUCCACACAGGAAGAGGCGGUUCCCAGGUUCCACACAGGAAGAGGCGGUUCCCAGGUUCCACACAGGAAGAGGCGGUUCCCAGGUUCCACACAGGAAGAGACGCCCAGGUUCCACACAGGAAGAGGCGGUUCCCAGGUUCCACACAGGAAGAGGCGGUUCCCAGGUUCCACACAGGAAGAGGCGGGGCGAGGCUCCUCCCUGCUGCAAAGGUACAGGACCACACAACGAGGACAAAAUAAGACGUUUAAAUAUUCGAAAGAGCUGUCUCUACUAUAAUGUAGAUGAUACAUUUAUAAACCUGGAAAACUCACAAGAAUGGACUGUGAAGGUCAGAAAACACCAAGGGUUGCCGGCAAAAUCAGAAGCCAAGAGAAAGGCAUGGACCAGAUUCACCCCUAGGACCUUCAGAAAGACCAUGGGCUUCCAGUACCUUCACGUUGGACUCCAGCCUCCAGAACUGUGAGAAAAUACAUUCUUACUGUCUUCAGACGCGCAGUUUGCGGUCAUUUGUUACGGCAGUCUUAGCACACUAAUAAGGAUCUCAGUUCUUCCCAUGUUGGCUACAAGGUUAAUUCGAUCCUGAUCAAAGUCCUAAAAAGGUUUGUUUGGGUUUGAGGUUUUGUGCUUUGACUUGUUGUUCAGUUGGUUGGUUGGUUUUUUGUUUGGUUUAAGAUAGUGUUUUCUAUUUUUUUCCUCUUGUUUUUGCUUUUUUGGAAGGGUAAGAGACUUAAAUGUCAACGUAUCAGAAUGAAAACAGAGUUAGAUCCAGGAAAUUUCUGAAAAAGAGAAGUAACAGAGCAGGACCAGCACUCCCUUCCAGGGAGUGGCCCCGCUGCUGAGAGGGAGGGCCCGGGACAGAAGACGGAGUUCCAAAAUAGGCUAAGUAUAAACGGGGAUUUAGUACACAACGGGGGAGGAAUGUCAAAUCAGUGGGCAAA
This 1464-nucleotide long non-coding RNA is filed under the name Homo sapiens (human). RNAcentral describes it as "HSALNT0098810". The record is from RNAcentral. Lineage: Eukaryota; Metazoa; Chordata; Mammalia; Primates; Hominidae.